UUCCAGACUCCUACGGGAGGCAGCAGUGAGGAAUAUUGGUCAAUGGGCGAGAGCCUGAACCAGCCAAGUCGUGUGAGGGAAGACGGUCCUAUGGAUUGUAAACCUCUUUUGUCGGGGAGCAAAAAGGCCUCGUGAGGCCACAAGUGAGAGUACCCGAAGAAAAAGCAUCGGCUAACUCCGUGCCAGCAGCCGCGGUAAUACGGAGGAUGCGAGCGUUAUCCGGAUUUAUUGGGUUUAAAGGGUGCGCAGGCGGAGGUGCAAGUCAGUGGUCAAAUUGCGGGGCUCAACCCCGUUCUGCCGUUGAAACUGCAUCCCUUGAGUGCGCGAGAAGUAUGCGGAAUGCGUGGUGUAGCGGUGAAAUGCAUAGAUAUUGCGCAGAACUCCGAUUGCGAAGGCAGCAUACCGGCGGCGAUCUGACGCUGAGGCACGAAAGCGUGGGUAUCGAACAGGAUUAGAUACCCCGGUACA
This 468-nucleotide ribosomal RNA is filed under the name uncultured bacterium. Its description in RNAcentral is "bacterial SSU rRNA". It matches the Rfam family "Bacterial small subunit ribosomal RNA", at positions 329 to 794 of the family's 1533-position model. The record is from RNAcentral.